Molecule: ribosomal RNA, 373 nt
Filed under: uncultured Glomeromycotina
Lineage: Eukaryota; Fungi; Glomeromycota
Description: LSU rRNA
Source: RNAcentral
UUGAAAGGGAAACGAUUGAAGUCAGUCGUACCUGUGGGUAAUCAGCCUUUUGGGUGUGAUUUUGUGGAGUGUGAGGAGUUAAACGCCUUCAUGCCUGCAUAUUCGUGCACUUUGGGUGUAUUUACCCGUGUGGUAAGUUAACAUCAAUUUCGGUGGUCAUAAAAUGGCUGGAGGAAUGUAGCUUCGAUCUUGUAUUGAAGUGUUAUAGCCUUCGGUAGAUGUGAUAAUCGGGAUUGAGGAUUGCAACGGAUACCCCUCGGGGCUACCUGUCUGAUCUCUGAUCGUUGCUCUGGUGCCGAAAGCUUGCUUACGGUUAUCAAAGUCGAUGGUCAAUAGGUUAGAAUGGGUUAAAUUCGUUAAGGAUGUUGACGUA